CCGCAUAGGGAAACAUGCACCAAAUGAAGCAGUGUACAUUCGUUCAUAUGGGAAUCUAAAAGUUAAAAAUUACUCAUUUUUUGCAAUCAUAAAUAUCGAUUGAUAGCUUCCGAUAGUCUAUCAGAAUCAAUCGAAACUAUCAGCUAAAGCGUUCAGUGUAGUGGCCUUUGGAGCGGGUGCCGUUGCGAUUGGAUGCUGGCUAGGGUGGAAAGCUUAUGCCAAACUGAGUGCAAAAAUCGUGCAAGUCAAUGGAAGCAAUCCAGCGGCAGUGGGUGAGGUUAACAUUGUGCCUCCAGAAGAUGACGAGAGAGUGACGCGCGUUCCGGAAGCUGCAGGAGUUGGACGAUUUGGAUCAGGGGCCGAAACUGCGCACCAUCGUUGGGCGCUGUGCAAGAUCCUUGUGCAGCGGACUCAAUCUUCGAUCCCUUUGGUGUCAUUGUUGACGUGGAUACUUCAUCAUUUGUGGACCAAAUGUGCGAUUGCGUCAAAGAGGGCGCUUCAAAAGGUUGAGUUACCUGAACCAGCGUGUGAUGAACAGCACGUGUGUGUCGUUGAGGUUCUUCCUGUUCAAGACGAGAUGUUGGUUGAUGGAACUGCUGUUGAAGUUGCAGUUGAUCCCUGUUCGUGGUGGUCGGUAUAGGAAGCUGAACAACAGGUAGUCUUCACCUCCACGGCAAUCUUCAGCUACCUUUACGGGGUGAUGUUAUCCUUAAAUGAGUCAACCAGUUUUGAAAGUUCAGCAGCCACACUAAUUUCCUUUUCGUACUACUCGCUAAACUAUUUGAAGCAUUUUCAAGCAAUAAGCUCAUUUUAUACAAUGGUACUUUGCAUCCCCAUUGCAAAGGCUGCCUCUCUGCACCACAAUAGUAUAAUCGUAUAUUCUUUAGGAUGUAUGAACAUAACAUCAAAGAAUGCUUUAUAUCAUUGACGGAACAACUCACUUGAUGGAUGCGUACACGUUUCCGUAUGUUGUGUAUUGUUGUUACAUCCUUACUGACAACUAACGACGGGGAUUCUUUUGUUCCGACACCAGCAGCAGUGUGGGCGCAAAAACGGUUGUUCCCCAAAGUUCAAGAGUCGUCAGUACAAUUGUGUCUCACAAUUCAACGUGUUAAUGUGCGUAAAAAAAUUUCGCGGAUCGCAAUUAUCACACGCUGUGCCGAAUCGAGAUCAUUUGUCGAGUGUAAUACAUCAUAAAGGUCGACAAAUGUAAUUAAGGUCACACGCACAAUUCAUCAAGGUUUUUUCUUCUGAUAUAUUCUUGGCUGCCGUAGGUUCAGCGGAAGAAAUGUAACUUGUUUUUCUCAUCACCCUUUAUUGGGGCAUCUUAAAAGACAAUCUACCAUUUCGAUUAUCGUUGUCGUUUCUUUCCGUCUAAUGACUCCGAUGGCCGUCAUAGACGAUAGCUUACUUCGAUAACGCAGUGAGAAAACAAAAUAAUCGAGUUUGUGUUCCCUUGUAUUUUCUAGAUGGUUUUGAAAACUAAAAAAAAAAAGUGUUGAAACCGAAAGACAGAAAAGAUUGACAACAGGUAAUUGACCGCUCUGCGUCAAAAGAUCCAGUAUACCGUACAACGUACAAGUUCGAGGUCGUUGUCCUCUUCCAGCUGUCGUGGGGAUGAUUGACGAUUUGCCUACUAAGGGUUACUGACCUAGCCCGGUUGUUUUUUUUAAAUCCAUCUUGUCGUAAAAUCAAAUAGUUUUUGUAAAUUGGAACGCCCCUGGCGAAAAGAAGGACUUCAUGACGAAAAACCACAGCUAUUCACAUUCAAUCAAACGGUAAAUAUAUAUAAAUACAAAGAGCGAAUCUUAAUUGUCCUCUUCUUGGUCUUAAUGCAGCUUUCCAUCCGGAAACCUGCUCUAGAUGUAGGUAGUUGGGGGGGAUGAGUCCAACGGGAAAGCGAGCUUAUUCAAGUUUUUGAGAUCCCUGAUAACAUAAUACAUACAAGGUGUUGAAUAAUGGCGUAAUGGUCGUUAACAUCCUGAAACCUCUUUGUUAUGGGGAAACAUAGAUCCCCGCCACAGGCUGCAUACGAUAAAGACUGCUUGGAUGUACAGAAAUGAUGUGUGCAUCAUACGGAAAAUAAUUACGGCUGUAUAAAGCAAACUUAGAACAAGCUGUAUCAAAGACGUUUUUAUUUUACAACAGCACGUUCCAAAAGUUGUUAAAUAUCAAAUUACUUUUCGUCUUCAGGUGCAUCUUUCCAUAAAUAAAUGCUGUUUUGAGCUGCAGUUAGGAUCCAAGCCUGAGAUGGGUGAGGGAGAUACUGAAUGGACAACUUUCGAACCAACGUGUUCCAGUCUUGCUAUGAGUUGGCCUUCUACUAAGGACCAGAUAUAAACGGUACCGUCUUCUGAACCCGAGAUAACGUGGUUAUCGGUAUGAUCAAGACAGCAAUCGAUUUUGUAUUCCGUGUUGAUGUGUCCAGUGUACCUGAUGAAAUAAUACAUCAAUAACUUAAAUUCGAAAA
Molecule: long non-coding RNA, 2470 nt
Organism: Daphnia magna
Lineage: Eukaryota; Metazoa; Arthropoda; Branchiopoda; Diplostraca; Daphniidae
Exons: 2
Source: RefSeq, a predicted model, not a curated record